GAGAGGGUUGGGAGAGAUAAAAGGAGGGACUUUCUAAACUGGAGAAGAUGCAGUGGAAGUGAAGAUUCCUAUUUGGCAGGACCCCAGAGUACCCAGGCCCAAGCCCACUCCGGAUAUGGAGAAAGUUGGGCCUGAGUUGGGGGGACAGGAGAGAGAGCGUGGGGCGGGCCGCCUCGGGGGCACAUGACGGCGGCGCCCGCCCCGCCCCGCGCCCGCCCCCUGCCCGGCCGUGGGGGGAGGAGACGCGGAGGUUUUAAAGGCGAUCUGGGCCGGCCGGCGGGGUGGGGCGCGGCCGGCGUCGUCUCGCCCGCGCGGAGCCCGCUCCCCUCCCCCGCGGGGAAGUGGGGUCCGACCCGGGAGAGACUCGCGGGGCGCGGGCGGCGACAACUUUCCCGCGCGGGCCGGGACGAGAGAGGGGCCGCGACCGGCCGGCCCCGGAGGCAGGAGCCGGAUCUCGCUGCGGGCGACAGCAGGUAGACUUGCGGGGGCCUGGAGGCCUGACCCCGGCGUGUAGCAGCCGAGGCCACAGCCCUUGGUCCUCGCGAGAGGCUCGAUGUCUUGUGCUGGCCCCAGGCUGACCUCUAGAUUCGCAGGCCACCGAACCCCUGGGCUGUGCGUGACCUUCCCUCCGGCCCACUGGCUGUCUGAGUGUCUAGGAAGUGCCCUGGCUCCCUGUACCUGCCCCCUUCCCAGCCUCAACAGCUGCCCGCCUCUGGCAGGGUGGCCUGAGAAGGUGCUACACUCCGAUCCAGCCUGCUGUUCCCUCACUGUGCCUCGGCCGGCUGGGGUUCCUGGGGAUGGGAUUUGAUGCCAGUCACAAAUCACAUUGCCAGGGAUUUCCAACUGACCCUGUGCUCUGCCUUGGGGACUCCGGUUGCCAAGGACGCCCACCCUGGGGACUGGGUGAGAGAGAAGCCCCGUGUGACAACCGGCCUGAGGAGCAGGGCUUAGCUGCUUGUGAGCAAGGUCCACAGCAAGUCGUGUUCACAGUGGCUAAGUUCCGCUCCCCCGGGCCCCAUCUCCUCAGACGGCGCUGCCCGCCCUGCUCUGCCUCCUUCUCCCUGGGCUUCGCCUCCUGUGCCUACUGAGCUGAAACAGUUGAUCCCAGUGCACUGGCUCAGUUCAGCAGGAACAGGAGUCCAGCCCCCAGGAGCUGGCCCCCACAAUGUCUGCCACGGCCUGAGACCAGGAUGGAUGGGACCGGGGGCCAUGGGGCGCUCAGUCGUGCCUAGGUCCAGCUAUCUGCUGUAGGCCCUUCCUCUAAGCCUUCCUCUGGGCACGCCACUCCACAUGGCCACUCCUGGAGCUCUUUGUGGUUCCCACAGAGAACAGAUGGAUGAGUGGGUGAUCCUCGCAUAAAAAGGCGAGCCGGCUGUGUCCUCUCAGCCUGCAGCCCUUCCUCUCCGGAGCCCAGUGGGGCCCAGGCACCACCCCUUACAUACACCUUGCCUUGUCAGUUACCCAAGAGGAAGCUGCUCUAGGCCCUCUGACCGUUAAAUGCCAACUCCCAGCUUCCGCAACAAAGCCCUGACCUUAUCCGGUGUGCUUAGCACCCCAUGAGGCCUGCAGCUUUCCACUGGUGUCAGUGAUGCAGGGAGCAAGGUCCCUCAAAGGACAGGAACAGAUCGGCCCCUUUCCCCUGAUACUGUGGCUUCUUGGAGUAAUCUCCAGGCUUAGAAGUUAAAAAGUUGCCUUCUGAACCGGGCAUAGGUGGCUCACGCCUUUAAUCCCAGCACUCGGGAGGCAGAGGCAGGUGGAUCUCUGUGAGUUCAAGACCAGUCUGGUCUACAGAGCAAGUUCCAGGACAGUCUCCAAAGCCACAGAGAAAUCCUGACUCAAAAAACAAAAAAGGUUGCCUGCUCUCUCCAAACCAGACAGGAUGUAGUCUAGUUGGCACAGGGCUGAGUUACACUUCCCAGAUCACCCAGUGUCCCCUCCCAACCCUGGGUAGGGGAAAAUGGAGGCUUGGGUGGAGGGACAGAUAGGUGGAGCUUGUAUUGAAUGUGCCUGUUUUCUAAUUAAAUAAAAGCUUGCCCAGUUCCCCCUUAAA
RNA transcript from Mesocricetus auratus (golden hamster), 2050 nucleotides. RefSeq lists it as uncharacterized. Lineage: Eukaryota; Metazoa; Chordata; Mammalia; Rodentia; Cricetidae. The transcript is spliced from 2 exons. The record is from RefSeq and is a predicted model, not a curated record.